RNAcentral lists this transfer RNA (74 nucleotides) under Gammaproteobacteria bacterium. Its description in RNAcentral is "tRNA-Met". It matches the Rfam family "tRNA". Rfam says of the family: Transfer RNA (tRNA) molecules are approximately 80 nucleotides in length. Their secondary structure includes four short double-helical elements and three loops (D, anti-codon, and T loops). The record is from RNAcentral. RNAcentral also lists the same sequence under 1 other name. Lineage: Bacteria; Pseudomonadati; Pseudomonadota; Gammaproteobacteria.
UGCGGGCUAAGUUAAUGGCAAGACGCAUGGUCUCAUAAGCCAUGAGAGAGGGUUCAAUUCCCUCCCCGCAACCA